Molecule: ribosomal RNA, 934 nt
Filed under: Rickenella fibula
Lineage: Eukaryota; Fungi; Basidiomycota; Agaricomycetes; Hymenochaetales; Rickenellaceae
Description: LSU rRNA
Rfam family: Eukaryotic large subunit ribosomal RNA
Source: RNAcentral
UAAGCAUAUCAAUAAGCGGAGGAAAAGAAACUAACAAGGAUUCCCCUAGUAACUGCGAGUGAAGCGGGAAAAGCUCAAAUUUAAAAUCUGGCGGUUAUGCCGUCCGAGUUGUAAUCUGGAGAAGCGUUUUCCGUGUUGGACCGUGUACAAGUCUCUUGGAACAGAGCGUCAUAGAGGGUGAGAAUCCCGUCUUUGACACGGACUACCAAUGCUUUGUGAUACGCUCUCAAAGAGUCGAGUUGUUUGGGAAUGCAGCUCAAAAUGGGUGGUAAAUGCCAUCUAAAGCUAAAUAUUGGCGAGAGACCGAUAGCGAACAAGUACCGUGAGGGAAAGAUGAAAAGCACUUUGGAAAGAGAGUUAAACAGUACGUGAAAUUGUUGAAAGGGAAACGCUUGAAGUCAGUCGCGUUGUCUGGGACUCAGCCUUGCUUCUGCAUGGUGUAUUUCCUGGUUAACGGGCCAACAUCGAUUUUGGUCGGUGGAUAAAGUCGAGAGGAAUGUGGCACCUUCGGGUGUGUUAUAGCCUCUYGUCGGAUGCAUCGACUGGGAUCGAGGAUCGCAGCACGCCUUUUUGGCCGGGGUUCGCCCACGUAACGUGCUUAGGAUGUUGGCAUAAUGGCUUUAAUCGACCCGUCUUGAAACACGGACCAAGGAGUCUAACAUGCCCGCGAGUGUUAGGGUGGAAAACCCUUGCGCGUAAUGAAAGUGAAAGUUGGGACCUCUGUCAUGGGGGGCACCGACGCCCGGCCUUGAACUUCUGUGACGGCGCCGCGGUAGAGCGUGUAUGUUGGGACCCGAAAGAUGGUGAACUAUGCCUGAAUAGGGCGAAGCCAGAGGAAACUCUGGUGGAGGCUCGUAGCGAUUCUGACGUGCAAAUCGAUCGUCAAAUUUGGGUAUAGGGGCGAAAGACUAAUCGAACCAUCUAGUAGCUGGUU